CCCUAUGGGGUGCCCGGGAGUGUGACGUGACGACGAUCGACGGCGGCGUGAUCCGGUUCUUCGAGGUAAGCUAAACCAGGCGUGUAUAAAUGAGCCCCGCCCACCUUGCGGUGGGCGGGGCGAUUCGCAUGAUACAGGUUUUCGUUACUUAGCAGCUUCCGGCGUGAAGGCAGGGAUGACGCCGCCUUUGUAGUUCUCGUUGUUCAGGAUGAAGUCGUACACCUUGGACGACUGCAGCACCUGCUGAAGCGCCUUGAGGAAGUCGGCGUCGGCGUCCGCCUUGCG
This 285-nucleotide ribosomal RNA is filed under the name uncultured prokaryote. RNAcentral describes it as "partial 16S ribosomal RNA". The record is from RNAcentral.